CGUGUAGGCGGGGGAAUGUGUCGGAAGUGAAAUCGUACGGCUUAACCGUAACAAGAGCUUCCGAAACUGUUCCUCUUGAAUGCGGAAGAGGUAGAUGGAAUUCCUGGUGUAGCGGUGGAAUGCGUAGAUAUCAGGAAGAACACCGGUGGCGAAGGCGGUCUACUGGUCCGUGAUUGACGCUGAGGCGCGAAAGUGCGGGGAGCAAACAGGAUUAGAUACCCUGGUAGUCCGCACCAUAAACGAUGAUCACUAGUUGUCGGGGGAUUCGACCCCCUCGGUAACGUCGCUAACGCAGUAAGUGAUCCACCUGGGGAGUACGCUCGCAAGGGUGAA
RNAcentral lists this ribosomal RNA (333 nucleotides) under uncultured bacterium. RNAcentral's name for it is "bacterial SSU rRNA". It matches the Rfam family "Bacterial small subunit ribosomal RNA", at positions 568 to 898 of the family's 1533-position model. The record is from RNAcentral.